UACGUAGGGGGCAAGCGUUGUCCGGAUUUAUUGGGCGUAAAGCGCGUGUAGGCGGCCAUACAGGUCCGUUGUGAAAACUCGAGGCUUAACCUCGAGACGUCGAUGGAAACCGUAUGGCUAGAGUCCGGAAGAGGAGAGUGGAAUUCCUGGUGUAGCGGUGAAAUGCGCAGAUAUCAGGAAGAACACCCGUGGCGAAGGCGGCUCUCUGAGACGGUACUGACGCUGAGACGCGAAAGCGUGGGGAGCGAACAGG
Molecule: ribosomal RNA, 253 nt
Filed under: uncultured bacterium
Lineage: Bacteria
Description: partial 16S ribosomal RNA
Rfam family: Bacterial small subunit ribosomal RNA
Source: RNAcentral